Molecule: RNA transcript, 2108 nt
Organism: Odontomachus brunneus
Lineage: Eukaryota; Metazoa; Arthropoda; Insecta; Hymenoptera; Formicidae
Exons: 10
Source: RefSeq, a predicted model, not a curated record
UGCUUAAGUUUUUCUAUGUGCCACUAGCUUUAGAAUCGCUGUUAGCAGUCCAUGGUUAUAAAGUCAAAGUUAUAUACUGUAUUUGAGGUCUCUAACAAAAGAAUUAAUUAAAGGAAAGAUAAUUUGGAAAAUAUGAAUAAUCGCAACGUGGAGAUAAAAGGAAAGCUUCAUGAUAUUGAUUAUGCUAUUUCAAAAGCCAAAGAGUUGAGUGGUUCCAAUGAAGCAAUUAUAAUAAAACAACAUGAUACUUUCUUUAACGCAAUAGAGGGACGAUUAAAGAUACGAAAAUUCGAUGAUAACGCUGCAGAGUACAUUUUUUACAAACGACCUAAUGUAUUAGGCCCUAAAUUAUGUAAUUAUAAUAAAAUAGCACUAAACUCAGAUGUUUCUGAAUUACUUAUGAAUAUUUUAUCGGAAUCCAUGGGUGUAGUAGGAGUUGUUAAGAAGAUUAGGCGGUUAUUUAUUGUUGGACAAACUCGAAUACAUGUCGACCAAGUUGAUGGUUUGGGCAAUUUUAUAGAACUUGAGGUAGUCUUGCAAGAAGAUCAAGAUAUAGAAACUGGACAAAAAAUCGCUAAUGAUCUGAUGCAAGCAUUAUCCAUAACAAAUGAUGAUUUGGUCGCCGAAGCCUACAUAGAUUUACUUAAAAAAGUAGAUAUAUAAGUAUAAGACGAUUCUUCUAACGAGAUCAAAGGCUGAGCAUCCAUGUCCUUGUCCUCAGAAGGUUGGAACUCGAAGAUGUUAUGGAAAGGCAACCACUAUAUUUUGGAGCUCGAUUAUCUUUAGAUGAAAGUUUAUUAAUCACGAUGGCUUUCAUUAUUCGGUGGGAAUUAGAAGAGAAAUCAAUUGAGCAUCUCUUACGUCUCAGUCCUCCAGAGAAACAUCAGAAUCUGAUGAAGAAGAAAAACCGAAUAUAAAACGCAAAAGUAAAAAGAGAAAGAGCAAAGUUUCAAAGAAAAAGUAUAUGAAACGCGUAAGUACUUUCGAUUACAAUCAAGUGUAUCCCAGGGUUUAUAAAUUUUACCAUUCUUUUUUGUUCUAAAGCCGAUAUUCAUAGUUGUAUCCUAUAUUUAAGACUUUCUUAGGUUUAUCUUUACUUCAUAAGCACUAAAAUACAGACCAUGUUGCAUCUGAAGAUGAACUUAAGAUGGUCUUAAAUAUAAGGUCAGACUAGAAAUACCCGCCUAAUAACGUUUUUGAUUUAGCGACGCAGGUCAAAUCUGAGCCAAGCAAUCAGUUCUUAAUUUUCAUCCAAUAUCAAUGAGAAACUCUAAUUGGUUUGAUCUGACAUUCAACCUGGGUCGCUGAAUCAAAAACGCUAUUAAUUUGUUGUACAUUUUUCUUUGUAGAAUUCAUCACAAUCAAUUGGAAGCAGUAAUGAGUCCGAAGUAAAUACUUCUUCAGAGAAUGAAGAUCUUCAUUUCCAAAACAUGCAGUUGAAGAAAAAAAUUAAAUCUCUAACGGCUGAAGUAGAGACAUACAAAGCAAUGAAAUCUAUGAUUGCAGAAUUUACUUCUUUGCCACGUCAUGUAAAAAAAAUACAGGAAAAGCUUAAAGAAUGCCUUAAAGACAAUCCAAAAUCUAUUGCAAAAACAAUUCCCACUUCGGUACCAAAUACAAGUUUUACUAACCCUAGUUCUAGGUGAAAUGAUCCUGCUUCUAGAUGGGAUGACGAUGACUUUGCGAAUAGAUUAACACCUGUGCCUAGUACAUCCACUGUAGAUCUUGAUAUCGAUGUCUCCAGUGCACCAAAGCAGGAACAUUUGAAAGACAUCUCUAACAUUUCAAUAGCUAAGUGUUAUACAGAUUUACCUGCCAAUGACAACACAUCUCCCUCCACAGGAGAGAUAGUACGUUUCGGAUCUAGAAGUGUCCCAAAGUCAAUGAUAGAUAAACUGAGAUAUGGAAAAAUAGGCUGACAGAAGCUGUUUUUACAUCUGAAGAAAUGACACUAAGCACUGUCAGAGGUAGUAAAACAAAUGCUCACAAGGCCGUGCUUCAAAAGAAAACUUUGGAUUAAAGCCUUGUGCAAGCUAUUAUAGAGUAUUGUGCUACAUCCUUUAAUAAAUCAACCUCAGAAGUGAGUUCUGAGGUGAUAAAAUCAAUAG